AAGCGUUGUUCGGAUUUACUGGGCGUAAAGGGUGCGUAGGCGGUCGGGUAAGUCUGAUGUGAAAUCUCUGGGCUCAACCCAGAAAUGGCAUUGGAUACUAUUCGGCUAGAGAGUUGGAGGGGGGACUGGAAUACUUGGUGUAGCAGUGAAAUGCGUAGAUAUCAAGUGGAACACCAGUGGCGAAGGCGAGUCCCUGGACAACUUCUGACGCUGAGGCACGAAAGCUAGGGGAGCAAACAGG
Molecule: ribosomal RNA, 241 nt
Filed under: uncultured bacterium
Lineage: Bacteria
Description: partial 16S ribosomal RNA
Rfam family: Bacterial small subunit ribosomal RNA
Source: RNAcentral